Long non-coding RNA from Lagopus leucura (white-tailed ptarmigan), 1576 nucleotides. RefSeq lists it as uncharacterized. The record is from RefSeq and is a predicted model, not a curated record. NCBI's taxonomy places the organism in Eukaryota, Metazoa, Chordata, Aves, Galliformes, Phasianidae. The transcript is spliced from 3 exons.
UCGUGCAAAGCCCUCAAAUCCCGGGAAAUAGCAGCAAAAUCAACUUCAGCACCUUGGACAGGACACGCUCCCGCAAAAUCGCGACAUGGGCACCUCGGCCCCGAAAACGCAGCGACUGGACGUGACCCUGUAGGACACAUCUGCGGGCCUGUUUAUUUUUAGUAUUGACAAAUCCUCUUUGAUUCGCCGCGUUGAAUCCACCAUACGCCCUGUAUUUCGGGAAUAGCAGCUCGUCGCCCUGGUGGAGAGAGAAAUUGGGGCCACGAGUUCCGGAUCUGUCGCCUGUCCGUAGGAUCGGCAGCUGCCCCAGCCUCGGAUGGAACGGCUCAGCUCAAGCACUCACAAAGCUCAGCUCAUCCUUUCCAGGCAAAACAAGACCUGUUGCCAUAGACGGAACCUAGACCAAUUCCCAACCAGAGUUACUCUUCAUCGGCACAAUAUCUACAUCCACAUCUCCUCCACUUCCACAUCCCGGCGCAAGCUUUGCUGAGCCAACUUCACCCUCCUGCAGCCUCACCGCGCCCUGCCCGGACGGGACGGCACCGGUCGCACCUCGAGGGCCAGUAUUGAGUAAUACUAAUGUAAGUUUUCAACUCUGCCACUCUUACGGAGAAAGGAAGCACUGCAAAAUCUUGAAGAAGCACAAGAAAGAUCCAUCUUCAUUUUGUCUGCCUUCAGAAAUGGAGAAAUUAUUCCUAUCACUAGCAAAUCCUUGAUCCUCUGGUAAUGAAAUCAGCUCAGUCUGAGCAGAGCUUACAGGAAACACAAAGUACUAUUUACAGAGAAAAGAUAAGGGAAAGGUAGGAAAAAGGACAGGAAGGGAAAGCUGUCAGAUUUAUUCUUUGCCAGGAACAGGACUGAGAGGAUCCCUUAUAUCCAUCCUAUCUCCUAGGGACAGCUCAGAAAAACUUGCCCCCGGGUUUCCAGAUCAAGUAUGCAUGUGUUAUUCAAAUCCUAUAUAUAAAUCUCCACCCCUCAAGCACUGCUUUAUGGAACCCAUAUGUUGAAGGGCAGCACAUCAGUGUGGGAUAUGGACCCGUACAGCAACAAACUCACACAGCAAGGGGAAAGAAUCCUUGAGACACAGACAACUCAUAAUGGAAAAGCUCAUCAUACAGCAACCAUGUUAAUUGCAGCCCUAUAGACAGACUGAUCAAAGGGAUAAAAUUGAUUAAACAUGCACUACCUCACCCAAAUCUGCAAGAAGCUUUCAGGUAAUGUUGACUUACCGAAUGUCUGUGAAGAAGUUCAAAUGAGUCAGCUGAAACCCAAUAAACGUGUAUGUCAGAUGGAAGCACCAGUAGCAAAGUAAAUACUACGUGGGAGAUCAGUUGAUGUCAUCUUUCUAUUCACUUCUCUCCAAAAACCCACCUUUUUCCUCUGAAGCAUUCACUGCUCUCUUAAAGAAUUACAGACAGCAGUGCUGCUUACAAAGAGCCAUUUAUUGUUCCAAGGUAUUUAUAGAACCUUUCAUCCCAAAUCCCCACACAUUUGUUGCCACCUGUUUUAAGGAAACAAAGAAAUUGGAAAGACGCGCAGCUCUUGAAAUGAGAGAGUUUGGAGGAGAGAUUUAGUU